AUCCUUGCAACGUGAUCCGAUUUCAGAGAGUAGUUUUCCACUAAAAUCUGCACAAUUGUGGAAGCAAAGUUCCUGUAAAGAAGGUCGAAGUAAUAGCUGAAUGGAUGAAUCAUUAAGCUGACCACAAUCAAGCUUUAAGCUUUGAAGGUGAGAAUUUGGUGGCAACAGUGACUUGAUUAGUUCCAUAGACGGCGAUAUAUCCUGCCAAAUGAUAAAUGCAUAUUAGGGUUCAAUUUGGAACUCCAGAAGACAGCAUCAAGAUUCAAAAGUUCAGAUUUUCGUGUGUUUAUGGAGGACCUGGGAAAUGAUAAAAAUUAAUACAUCUUUUUUUUUUUUUGCAGUUCGAAACCCAAAUCAAAAACUAAACAACUGAGGGCAAUUGAAAAUUUUUUCUCUUUCACUUUCCGCAGGAUCCAAUUCCUCCUUUCGCCAAGUAAAGAGAAACCAAAAAAGGAUGCAAAGGAAGGGCAAAUAAAACUUACAAGGAUAUGAAAAUUGGGAAGAAAAGAGAGGAUAUGAGAAGCACAGGAAUUGAAAGCCUUGCAGGUGACAGCCAAA
This 558-nucleotide long non-coding RNA is filed under the name Gossypium barbadense (sea-island cotton). RNAcentral's name for it is "long non-coding RNA (GBAR_LNC021454)". The record is from RNAcentral. Lineage: Eukaryota; Viridiplantae; Streptophyta; Magnoliopsida; Malvales; Malvaceae.